RNAcentral lists this ribosomal RNA (254 nucleotides) under uncultured bacterium. RNAcentral's name for it is "partial 16S ribosomal RNA". It matches the Rfam family "Bacterial small subunit ribosomal RNA", at positions 524 to 776 of the family's 1533-position model. The record is from RNAcentral.
UACGUAGGCAGCAAGCGUUGUUCGGAGUUACUGGGCGUAAAGGGUGCGUAGGCGGUUGUUUAAGUUUGGUGUGAAAUCUCCCGGCUCAACCGGGAGGUGCGCCGAAUACUGAACGGCUAGAGUGCGGGAGAGGAGAGUGGAAUUCCUGGUGUAGCGGUGAAAUGCGUAGAUAUCAGGAGGAACACCGGUGGUGUAGACGGCUCUCUGGACCGUAACUGGACGCUGAGAAGCGAAAAGCAUGGGGAGCGAACAGG